RNAcentral lists this ribosomal RNA (253 nucleotides) under uncultured bacterium. RNAcentral's name for it is "partial 16S ribosomal RNA". It matches the Rfam family "Bacterial small subunit ribosomal RNA", at positions 524 to 776 of the family's 1533-position model. The record is from RNAcentral.
GACGUAGGGCGCGAGCGUUGUCCGGAUUUAUUGGGCGUAAAGAGCUCAUAGGCGGCUCAUCGCGUCUGCCGUGAAAACCCGCAGCUCAACUGCGGGCUUGCGGUUGAUACGGGUGGGCUGGAGUUCGGUAGGGGAGACUGGAAUUCCUGGUGUAGCGGUGAAAUGCGCAGAUAUCAGGAGGAACACCGGUGGCGAAGGCGGGUCUCUGGGCCGAUACUGACGCUGAGGAGCGAAAGCGUGGGGAGCGAACAGG